UUACUGAACAACACGUUGGGAUAUAGUUCAAAAAUCAUUCAAUUCAGUCAAGAUAGAAAUUGUUUUAGCGUUCACUUACGUGGUUAAGGAACAUUACAGAUACUUGGUGGGUCAUAUAUCAUGUAUAAGAUUAACUUUACCGUCGACAUGGGUGUCCAGAAAAAGUCGCAUUUGUGCAUAAAUACAGGGAAUUUAUAUGCUAUAAGUAAUUGCAAUGCAGCACGUACGCCACGUUUGUAUGGAGAGUUCAAUCACAUAUUUGGAGACAACGAAAAAAAAACUCAAUAUGUGUGACCACACCAUACAUAAGGUAUGUUUUCCAUACCUUAUGUAGACAACGGUAGACACAUUGUUGGUUAUGAGUUCAAUUCAAAGGUGUAAAAUCUGGAUUAUUGUUAAUGACAAGAAUUUUAGUACCUACGUGUAUUCAACAAUGUACGUUGUCUGAUUUACGAUUCUGAACCUAACAACAUAAAAAGUGUUUUACUAAACGCACAUUUUCUACGAUGUAAGUUAGUAAGAAGGAACAACACAGCUGGUAUGACGUCUUCUUAGGGGUGAUAUUCAGUGUUUGAAAGAAAACUAUGGACAGUUCCAGGUAUGUACUCUUUAUUGUGGUGAUCAAAUGAAUUAACUUUUACCACAAACUGAAAAAGCUAUAGUUGAAGCUGCUUUGUUAAUGAGUAACGAAAUCCAAUCUAGUCAUACCAAGAAUUGGGGGCCUUAUCAUUGCUACCCAAGACUAUCACAUGAACAUUUUUAUUAACACAUAAAAAUUAAUUUCAGAGCGAUUCUAGUAUAGUUUGAUUGGUUAAUUUAUAUCUGGUGAUAUCUGGUGACCAAUAUUGAUUAAGAUUACUGCAUCCUGCUUUUAAAAAGCCUCAACUAUUUUGGUCUGGAAAACAUAUGAAUUAUAACUAUGAGAUCAAGUCAAAUUUCCAAUGAUGGCAAAUUUGUGGCGUAAAUGAAAAUUGUAUAUAUACUCAUUAUGAAAUUGCUUUAUGGAUUCUCACAAGUCAAACAAAUAUAAUUGAAAAUGUGUAGAUUUAUUAUUUUUUUUAUUUAUAGAUGUUUGCUUAAGACAUUUUAAGUUGUUGGCUAUGGACAAGUAAUGAUUAAGUUUAGAUGGUCAAUCAAAUAUAUUUUAUGUGGUGUUGGCCAAUUCUGGGUUCUAAUGUUGCAAAGUAAUGUAGCGAAAACACAUUUUAUAUCCUACUUUUUAACAUUAUGAUAAUUUUAAAUUACUAUUAAUAAUAAUACGCCUAACUAUGAUUUACUCCAAUCUAGAUAUAAAUUAGUUUAAAAUAGAAUAGGAAUUAUAUAGGUAAUUAUUUGUUUUACUGUUAAUCAUUUUAUUAUUUUUCUAAAUAAUUAUUUAAUUAAUAAACAUAUUAUAUCUAAUUUGUAAAACAAAAAUGCAAUAUGUAAAAAUAAUUUCUACUUAAGAAAUGUAAAAGAAUUGACUGUAUCAACUUGAUUGCAAUAUAAACAAAACAUAAGAGUUGAAUAUUUUAAAACAAUUACAUUCAACAUUUUGUUAGUAAAGCUUGUUAAUUAAAGGAUCAUUUAAAAAUAGUAUGUAAAUCAUGGCAUUAUAAAUCAUCACACUGUAAUGAGUUAAAAAUAUAGUACAGUAAAACCUCGAUAAGACAGAAUCGCUUGGGACUAUGCAAUUUUUCCGUGUUAACAGGGUUUCCGUUUUACCGAAGUUUCAUCUUAUCGAAGUUUCGUCUUAUCGAGGUUUUACUGUAUAAUGUUCUAAUUUAAUAUUAGUAUAUAAAAAUUAAUAUAUAGUAUUUAGAUUGAUAUUCUUAGCUCAUUACUUUAUAUACAUAUUUAUUAACGUGUAAACUUAAUUCGGGGUGUGAAUAAGAGAGUUUUCAUGUAAAAAAUGUGUAUUUAUGACUAUACGUAGAGUAUAUGUUAAAUAUAGAUAUAUUACUUUAACUCUAGCAAAUCUUGUUGUUUAAACUGAUCCUCUUGAGUUUUGAAUGUAUUAGGAAUUGAUGAAAUACAAAAGUGAAUUAUGAACAAUA
Molecule: long non-coding RNA, 2036 nt
Organism: Rhopalosiphum padi (bird cherry-oat aphid)
Lineage: Eukaryota; Metazoa; Arthropoda; Insecta; Hemiptera; Aphididae
Exons: 7
Source: RefSeq, a predicted model, not a curated record